GAAUCUUCCGCAAUGGGCGAAAGCCUGACGGAGCGACACCGCGUGCAGGAUGAAGGCCUUCGGGUUGUAAACUGCUGUCACGCAAUAGGAAUCCCACGGCGUGAACAUCGCCGUGGUUGACUAACGCGAGAGGAAGCACCGGCUAACUCCGUGCCAGCAGCCGCGGUAAGACGGAGGGUGCAAACGUUGUUCGGAAUUACUGGGCAUAAAGAGCACGUAGGCGGUUCGCUAAGUUGGGUGUGAAAGCCCCCGGCUCAACCGGGGAAUGGCUCCCGAUACUGGCGAACUAGAGAUCGGUAGGGGUGAGUGGAACUCCAGGUGGAGCGGUGAAAUGCGUAGAUAUCUGGAGGAACACCGGUGGCGAAAGCGGCUCACUGGACCGCAACUGACGCUGAGGUGCGAAAGCUAGGGUAGCGAACGGG
Molecule: ribosomal RNA, 422 nt
Filed under: uncultured bacterium
Lineage: Bacteria
Description: bacterial SSU rRNA
Rfam family: Bacterial small subunit ribosomal RNA
Source: RNAcentral